CCUACACCCAAAGAAUCCAGAAGCUCAUCUAUGCCUCUGUUUAGGCGGUUCCACGUUCUGACUCCACUAGGCACAGGACUCUCAUUUGCUCAAAAAACUCCAGUGCACAUGGAGCUGAAAAGUCAGCAGUAGCUUGAGAACUUGGAAGGAGAACAGAGAUGUGUAAAGCGUCGACUGGAACAGAGGAAAGUCGAAAUGAGGAACAAAAAGUCUGAAGUCCUGAAAAUGAUACACAUUGCAGCCUCUUUGCCUUUCUUUUACUUCCUUUAUUGUUCUCACCUCAUCAUGAAUUAGAAUGCAAUGCAGGAGCAGCAUGACAGAUCUUGCCCACUGAGCCACUAAAGGAAAAGAAAUUACAAAAUUUUUAAAUGAAAAAUCAUGAAUAAGUAAAGCAAGAGACUAUUUCUCUCUGACAUAGCAGCCUGCCCUCACUGCCCUGCAUUCUCAGAGGGAGAUGGAGACAGAGACAGAGGAAUGAAGAAGCCCAAUGGAAUCCACUCACUGAUAAACAACCAAAGGUCAUUAGUUUCUGUAACAUAAGCUUCUAAUGAGACACAUCAUCAUCACUGAAUCCCCUGUGCCCAGCUCAGAAAGCUCAAGCACAACAAGUGUUCAAUAGUUUAAGUAAAAGAGUUGAAUAGUAAAAUCUGUUCUUGGCAACAUAAAAAUUAUGUGCCUACUAAAGGUGAAAUGAUUGCAGUUGGGUAAUUCCUCCACCUCCUUAGACAAAAGAAAUGUUUGCUCUCAGCACCUGAGGGCUGUUGACAUUUUUGAUACCUGGGGACUAAGUCAGGAGAGCAGGAGGUCACCACUGAGGACUGAGGUCCUUCAUGCAAACACUCUAGGAGCCAGGGUGACGGUCCUGAAGGAUAAAUUAUUUUGCCAACACAGAAAUAAGCCCCUCCACAGAAAAGAAAUCCUCAGGAUUGAAGUCCUCAGGAUGUGGUGAGCCUGCCCUCAGUUCUUGAGUCCAGGGGAGUUCAGGAUGAGGCCUCUGUCACUGUGGAGGAGCUAUGAUGUGUACUAGACGUGAUAUGUACCUUGUGAGUGGGGUGGUGCUGGG
This 1063-nucleotide long non-coding RNA is filed under the name Equus caballus (horse). RNAcentral's name for it is "lncRNA (ENSECAG00000048319.1)". The record is from RNAcentral. Lineage: Eukaryota; Metazoa; Chordata; Mammalia; Perissodactyla; Equidae.